CGGGAUGGAGCAGCCCGGUAGCUCGUCAGGCUCAUAACCUGAAGGUCGUAGGUUCAAAUCCUACUCCCGCAA
RNAcentral lists this transfer RNA (72 nucleotides) under Sulfitobacter noctilucicola. It matches the Rfam family "tRNA". From Rfam's summary of the family: Transfer RNA (tRNA) molecules are approximately 80 nucleotides in length. RNAcentral also lists the same sequence under 1 other name. Lineage: Bacteria; Pseudomonadati; Pseudomonadota; Alphaproteobacteria; Rhodobacterales; Roseobacteraceae. The record is from Rfam by way of RNAcentral.